This 309-nucleotide ribosomal RNA is filed under the name Triticum aestivum (bread wheat). Its description in RNAcentral is "partial small subunit ribosomal RNA". The record is from RNAcentral. Lineage: Eukaryota; Viridiplantae; Streptophyta; Magnoliopsida; Poales; Poaceae.
AUGCAAAGCACGUUGUGCACCCAAGAGGUGACUCUUGGUGACGAAGGAGUUCAUGUCGUCAUCUUGCUCCAUGAAGAGUGGGUUGGUAGAAGUACUUGGCCUAUCCAUCAUGAGAAAGUGGUGGUGAGUAGGAAAAAUGAGAGAACAAAACCAAAGUUACCUUUUCCGAAGAUUGUGGAUGUAACAAGUACGAUCUCACGAUGCUAUAAUAGGGGAAUUGGUACCGGGAAUUGUUUCUCACACCUACAAGUAAAAGGCUUAUGGAGGAGCUCGGUUAGGAUGGUGGCAAAAAUUUCAAGCAAAUGUUAG